GGAGGAAUAUUGGUCAAUGGGGGAAACCCUGAACCAGCGACGCCGCGUGAGCGAUGAAGGCCUUAGGGUCGUAAAGCUCUGUCGUACGGGAAGAUAAUGACGGUACCGUACAAGAAAGGAUCGGCCAACUUCGUGCCAGCAGCCGCGGUAAGACGAGGGAUCCUAGCGUUGUUCGGAAUCACUGGGCGUAAAGCGGAUGUAGGUGGAUUAACAAGUCAGGUGUGAAAUCCCGGGGCUCAACCUCGGAACU
RNAcentral lists this ribosomal RNA (250 nucleotides) under uncultured bacterium. RNAcentral describes it as "partial 16S ribosomal RNA". It matches the Rfam family "Bacterial small subunit ribosomal RNA", at positions 355 to 622 of the family's 1533-position model. The record is from RNAcentral.